This 253-nucleotide ribosomal RNA is filed under the name uncultured bacterium. Its description in RNAcentral is "partial 16S ribosomal RNA". It matches the Rfam family "Bacterial small subunit ribosomal RNA", at positions 524 to 776 of the family's 1533-position model. The record is from RNAcentral.
GACAGAGGGGGCAAGCGUUGCUCGGAAUUACUGGGCGGAAAGGGCGCGUAGGCGGGAUGGCAAGUCGGUCGUGAAAUCCUUCGGCUCAACCGAAGAACGUCGAUCGAUACUGCUGUUCUUGAGGGUUGCAGAGGAGACUGGAAUUCCCGGUGUAGCGGUGAAAUGUGUAGAGAUCGGGAGGAACACCGGUGGCGAAGGCGGGUCUCUGGGCAAUUCCUGACGCUGAGGCGCGAAAGCGUGGGGAGCAAACGGG